Camarhynchus parvulus is the source of this 561-nucleotide non-coding RNA. The record is from the annotation of a RefSeq genome assembly. NCBI's taxonomy places the organism in Eukaryota, Metazoa, Chordata, Aves, Passeriformes, Thraupidae.
AUGAGGAAAGAGUGAGUUAUUGGAAUAAGUCUUAGCAGUGUGAGGACAGAGAAGCUUAUAUUUGGACCAGGGACAAUUCUCACAGUUUUACCAAACAUUUCAAAAACUUUUGAUCCUCAAGUCAUUGUGAUGAAAUCAAAGAAACUGGAAGAAGGCAACAGCACUGGGAAAGCAGCUUGUUUGGCAAGGAACUCCCCUACAAAGAACAUCAGCUUGGAGAUGCCCUCUCAGGAGGUGGUCUAUGAACAGAGCCCAUCCAUUUUGACAUCACAGGGGUUGUACAAUGCAAUUAAAGUGGUCAGGGUGACAAAAGACACAGAGGUGACCUGCACGGCCAAAUUUGACGACCGCACGAAAACAGCACAGCCAGAAGAGAAGGCUGAAGAACCAGUAACAGAGGCCAAUGACAAGGUUUGCAACAGCACAAACACCUCAGCACAAGCAGAUGCUGGAGGGCAGAGAGCAAACAUGCUGUCCAUGGCUGUGUUGGGUUUGAGAGUCCUGCUGGCAAAGAGCAUUGCCUUCAAUGCCCUCAUGAGCAUCAAGUUGUUUCUUUUCUGA